Arabidopsis thaliana (thale cress) is the source of this 560-nucleotide long non-coding RNA. RefSeq annotates it as other RNA. NCBI's taxonomy places the organism in Eukaryota, Viridiplantae, Streptophyta, Magnoliopsida, Brassicales, Brassicaceae. The transcript has a single exon. The record is from RefSeq.
UAUGAUGCUCUUCGGGUAGGUCCGUCUAUAAAACGUAAUUUGAGGAAGUUUAACUACACUGGCCCUAUCACCAUCACUGCCGUUGGCGUACUAUCAGAGGUCCCUCGAGAUUUCCUUGAAACCACUGGAGAGUGGAGUCAGUCUCUUUCUCAAGUCUUAGUUGUUUCUGAAACAGGUCCCACAUACAUGGUUUCGCUUUUCAUUGACUCCCCUGAUUCUAAGAUUCCACGUCCACAUAAUACCUAUGAAGACGACGAGGCUCCCCCUUGAUUAUUUUCCGGAGAAAUAAUGCCUACUACCAUUGGUGAGGGAAGAAGCAACCAAACCUUGAGAUUUCUCAUCUUUUGAAUUCUGGGGUUUACCGGAAAUCUUGGUAAAUAGAAAUGUGAAAUGUACCAUCCUUUAAUAAUCUUUUCUUAUUAUCUUUUAUUUCCGUGAUUUAAUGUAGUAAAAUCAAGUUCCUGUCACUUGAAGUUGUACAACUUACAAAAAAAAAACAGAACACAGAGAAAGCUACUCUGUAUCCAAUGCUCUGUGUUAUCAUGCAUAUAUUAUAAAAC